This 492-nucleotide ribosomal RNA is filed under the name uncultured bacterium. RNAcentral's name for it is "partial 16S ribosomal RNA". It matches the Rfam family "Bacterial small subunit ribosomal RNA", at positions 28 to 507 of the family's 1533-position model. The record is from RNAcentral.
GAUGAACGCUAGCUACAGGCUUAACACAUGCAAGUCGAGGGGAAACGGCAUUAAGUGCUUGCACUUUUUGGACGUCGACCGGCGCACGGGUGAGUAACGCGUAUCCAACCUUCCCAUGACUAAGGGAUAACCUGCCGAAAGGCAGACUAAUACCUUAUGGUCUUCACUGACGGCAUCAGAUGUGAAGUAAAGAUUUAUCGGUUAUGGAUGGGGAUGCGUCUGAUUAGCUUGUUGGCGGGGUAACGGCCCACCAAGGCAACGAUCAGUAGGGGUUCUGAGAGGAAGGUCCCCCACAUUGGAACUGAGACACGGUCCAAACUCCUACGGGAGGCAGCAGUGAGGAAUAUUGGUCAAUGGGCGAGAGCCUGAACCAGCCAAGUAGCGUGCAGGAUGACGGCCCUAUGGGUUGUAAACUGCUUUUGUAUGGGGAUAAAGUCAAUCACGUGUGUUUGUUUGCAGGUACCAGACGAAUAAGGACCGGCUAAUUCCGUG